UACGUAGGUGACCAGCGUUGUCCGGAUUUACUGGGCGUGAAGAGCGCGCAGGCGGUCGUUCAAGUCGAGUGUGAAAGCCCCCGGCUCAACUGGGGAGGGUCACUCGAUACUGAUCGACUUGAAGGCAGGAGAGGGAAGCGGAAUUCCCGGUGUAGUGGUGAAAUGCGUAGAUAUCGGGAGGAACACCCGUGGCGAAGGCGGUCUCCUGGGGUCCUCUUGACGCUGAGGCGCGAAAGCUGGGGGAGCGAACGGG
Molecule: ribosomal RNA, 253 nt
Filed under: uncultured bacterium
Lineage: Bacteria
Description: partial 16S ribosomal RNA
Rfam family: Bacterial small subunit ribosomal RNA
Source: RNAcentral